RNAcentral lists this ribosomal RNA (253 nucleotides) under uncultured bacterium. RNAcentral's name for it is "partial 16S ribosomal RNA". It matches the Rfam family "Bacterial small subunit ribosomal RNA", at positions 524 to 776 of the family's 1533-position model. The record is from RNAcentral.
UACGUAGGGUGCAAGCGUUAUUCGGAAUUACUGGGCGUAAAGCGUGCGCAGGCGGUGAUGUAAGACAGAUGUGAAAUCCCCGGGCUCAACCUGGGAACUGCAUUUGGGACUGCAUCGCUGGAGUGCGGCAGAGGGGGAUGGAAUUCCGCGUGUAGCAGUGAAAUGCGUAGAUAUGCGGAGGAACACCGAUGGCGAAGGCAAUCCCCUGGGCCUGCACUGACGCUCAUGCACGAAAGCGUGGGGAGCAAACAGG